AUGUAUCACUCGUACACUCCGGUUCCUGCGCGCCGUCCGCACCCACCUGACGACUGCUCGCUACGUUUUGUUAGCC
Molecule: small RNA, 76 nt
Filed under: Xanthomonas populi
Lineage: Bacteria; Pseudomonadati; Pseudomonadota; Gammaproteobacteria; Lysobacterales; Lysobacteraceae
Description: sX9 sRNA
Rfam family: Xanthomonas sRNA sX9
Source: RNAcentral